UUGUGUGAUGUCUGACAUAAAGAAGUUGUCUCUUUCCGAGGACAUCACUUCAGAUAAGGAUUGUAUGGGGACAUAAAAUCAGGGUAGUGAAGUGGUAUAUGUCCAAAUUUCUCUCUUAUAUGAUUGUGCCUCCAUAUGACAUUUAAUUUAGCUUGCUUUUUCCCUUACUUGUUCCUCAACUCUAUUUUUUCCUUUUCUCUUCAAGCCAUAUAGUUAGUUCCUCCUUUAUAGUAUGUAUACAUGUAUAGUUAGUUCCUUUUCUCUUCAAGCUAUAUGCCUCCUCCUCCUCCUCCUCCUCCUCCCUAUUUGUACCAUUCUGGUCUAAUAUUAUAUAUGUUGGAGGUCAUCCAUGGAAGCAAGCUCUCUCUAGCCCUUACUGAAGCUUAUAUAUAAACUGUCUAUUUAUAAUUGGUUGAAAACAUAUGGAACCCACCACAAUCAUACAAUCGUUGGAACAACACAUGACAAGAGCUUACAAGCUCUUUGAAAAAACUCCUACUGUGGAUGCUCUAAAGAGAUGCAAGUAAAUGCUCUAAAGAGAUGCAAGUAAGAUGUUAUAAUGCCGAAAUGCCUCAGGUUGUAAGAAGCUUUUUUUUUUCUUUUCUUUUUCCUCUGAACCGCUAUGGCUGUUUUGCUUUUUUUUUUUCUAUUCUGAAUUCAGAUGACCAUGUGUUGUUUUCUGAUGUGGUAAUGCUUGAAUCAAAUGUACACAAAAUAAUCUGAUAAUGUUUGAAAUUUGAUUUUAUAAUACUUGAAAUCUGAGCUGAUAAUGUUGAGUUUUCUUGAUGCAGAAGUUGCUGAAAUGUUUAUCGACUUGAUGCUGAAAUUGCUGAAAUCUGUAUUUGUUUUUUCUGGUAUUUAAAUCUGAUGUGACGUUCUAAUUUGCUUAAAUUGCUGAAAUGUUUAUUGAAUUGAUGAAUAGGGUAAGCGUGUGAGGGAAUUUUUAUCAUUUUUAUUA
Lactuca sativa (garden lettuce) is the source of this 958-nucleotide long non-coding RNA. RefSeq lists it as uncharacterized. The record is from RefSeq and is a predicted model, not a curated record. Lineage: Eukaryota; Viridiplantae; Streptophyta; Magnoliopsida; Asterales; Asteraceae.